This 460-nucleotide ribosomal RNA is filed under the name uncultured bacterium. RNAcentral's name for it is "partial 16S ribosomal RNA". It matches the Rfam family "Bacterial small subunit ribosomal RNA", at positions 28 to 523 of the family's 1533-position model. The record is from RNAcentral.
GAUGAGCGCUGGCGGCGUGCCUAAUACAUGCAAGUCGAGCGGUAAGGCCCCUUCGGGGGUACACGAGCGGCGGACGGCUGAGUAACACGUAGGAACGUACCCCAAAGUGAGGGAUAACUGCUCGAAAGAGUAGCUAAUACCGCAUGUGAUCUACGGAUUAAAGCUUUAUGCGCUUUGGGAACGGCCUGCGUCCGAUUAGCUUGUUGGUGAGGUAAUAGCUCACCAAGGCGAUGAUCGGUAGCUGGUCUGAGAGGAUGAUCAGCCAGACUGGGACUGAGACACGGCCCAGACUCCUACGGGAGGCAGCAGUAGGGAAUUUUCCACAAUGGGCGAAAGCCGGAUGGAGCAACGCCGCGUGCAGGAUGAAUGCCUUAGGGUUGUAAACUGCUUUUAAUAGUGACGAUUAUGACGGUAACUAUUGAAUAAGGACCUGCUAACUACGUGCCAGCAGCCGCCGUAA